RNAcentral lists this ribosomal RNA (253 nucleotides) under uncultured bacterium. RNAcentral describes it as "partial 16S ribosomal RNA". It matches the Rfam family "Bacterial small subunit ribosomal RNA", at positions 524 to 776 of the family's 1533-position model. The record is from RNAcentral.
UACGGGGGGAGCAAGCGUUGUUCGGAUUUACUGGGCGUAAAGGGCGCGUAGGCGGCGUAACAAGUCACUUGUGAAAUCUCCGGGCUUAACUCGGAGCGGUCAAGUGAUACUGUUGUGCUAGAGUGCGGAAGGGGCUACUGGAAUUCUCGGUGUAGCGGUGAAAUGCGUAGAUAUCGAGAGGAACACCUGCGGCGAAGGCGGGUAGCUGGGCCGACACUGACGCUGAUGCGCGAAAGCCAGGGGAGCGAACAGG